RNAcentral lists this unclassified non-coding RNA (1525 nucleotides) under Leishmania donovani. RNAcentral describes it as "gene:LdHU3.34.2150(CDS-product:hypothetical_prote in_conserved)". Lineage: Eukaryota; Euglenozoa; Kinetoplastea; Trypanosomatida; Trypanosomatidae. The record is from RNAcentral.
CAACACCUUCACUCCAGAGGUCAGCCGUUUCUUUUUCUUGCUGCUGCGCCUCCAUCCCUCUCCCUCUACCCCUAAUAACCCUGCGCUACUUCAGCCUUUGGAGUCUCUUGCGUUUUCUUUCUUGAGUGCGUCUGUUGCUCGUGUCUUCUUGGCUUUCCUGGGCAGAUCCGCCGAGUGCACUCAUGUGGGGGUUUGAAGCAUACGCAGAGGGACUGUCCACCACACCCAACAUACACGGCGCACAUCUCACCGGCGUUGCACCACAGGAGGGAGAAGCAGCGCCUCUGGCGCCACCGCGGUAUCUGUGGAAGAAGAACCGAAACAAUUACCUGUUCGACGCGCAAGGAAAGUUGCUUGGCGCCGCGGAAGCGCAUAGCCCGACGAUAUGGCGCACUCAUCACGCAUUUAGCGGCCGCUGCGCCCUCGUGAACCCAACGGCCCCCGUCACCGGUGGUGCGGCUGCCCAGUCCUUCGGCGCCCCUGGAUGGGCGGAGCAGGCGUGGACGGCAUACCAAAGCUGGUCCGUCGGCUUCCGGCUGAGCUCUACGACCACUGACGAACCUCAUAUCCUCCUCAGCGUCGCACCGGCAUACUUUCCGAACUUGGUUUCCGCCACUGGCGAAAUCCGCAAGGCCGAUGCAGCGACGCUAGCAAGCCUGCCAUGCGCCCCCUCAGCGGAGGAGGAGGUCAUCUACAACAAGCGCAUGCUGGAGACGCCGUUAAUCUGGGAAGAGCCGUACGCGCUGUCGGUGGAAUGCACGACUCAUGGGGUCUUUCUGUGGAGUGACCACUGGGGCAUAUUCGGCAGGAAAAUUGCCGACCGCUGCCUCGAGGCGCGCCAGGAUAACGUGAGGCAUAGCGGCAUUGCGCCGCUACCCUCCCCUGACCCAUCCCCAUCGUCUGCGGCGGCAGGUGAGGAGUUGGCGCUGGUGGCUUACGAUGCGGCGCUGCGCCUGCGGUGGAACGCUGCAGGUCCGGGGAGCAAAAGCAGCACUGACGGUGGGUCUGCCAGAGCAGUGGCCCCUACACUGUCAGUGGAGCUGAAGACUAGCGGCGACGCGGCAGCGGGAGGGGCAGCGCCGACGUGCGAGGAAAAGGUCGGGGAAGAGUUGUGGCAGCAUCUGAUUGACCUUCCCCUCUCGCUCGACGAGGUGGCAUGCAAGGCAGCCUUUCGCCCUUACGUGACGCUGAUGGAAGGCGGCGAUGCGGUUGAACUGCUCUGAGGCGGUCGAGCUUUUGCCGCUCUUCGUGUCCGUUUCUGCGUGCGCGUUCCUUGCGAAGGGUGGAAAAGCGUAUGCGACUGUUCUCGCACCCCCUAUCGCGUGCUCUGUCGAACGGUGUGUGUGCGUGUGUGGAAGUCCAUUUUCUAGUGGACAAUCCUAGAGCGCACGUGAGCAUCAGCACGAUCUGCAUGCGUGCCACUCGUGUGCUACCUGCAGAUUUGUGUUCUGUGCAAGUGUAUGGCGCCGCGCAGCUAGACGAAAAGUCCAACGUAUGUACGUGUCAUAGACCGCCGACAACCACG